CUUGUUACACGUGUUACAACCACAAAGAAGGCGGUAAGGACAGUUGUUACACGUGUGACAACCACAAGGAAGGCGUUAAGGACAGUUGUUACACGUGUUACAACCACAAGGAAGGCGUUAAGGACAGUUGUUACACGUGUUACAACCACAAGGAAGGCGUUAAGGACAGUUGCAACAGGUGAGAAAGGAUGUUGUAACUUCCAGAGAGAGUACCGACUCAACUCUGAAUCCAGUACCAAUGGAAAACACAGCAACCACCCUCAAAUAAGAGCUGACACAUAGCCUACACUAACCCUUAUCCUGGAACUGGGCAAGAAACAUCAUGCCAGAGCCAAGGGCAAGAAGGCUAUUCUCUGGUUUACAUUAGGACUUUUCUAAGACAGCAGCAACACGAGAGGAAGGGCCGAUUCACAGUUCAGCCCAACACUGUUGGAGGCACAUCGUCGGAACACAUGCGACAGGAGCACACCACAGAAAUGCCCGCCAUCUUAGCAGACGUGAACAGAGACAGGCUGGCCCCCAGUGACCCACUGACAAUGGUAGAGCUCAAGUCCCCAAAGAUCCCACGACCUCUCUACAGUGCCAGACACGGAAGCCUGUGGGGACAAGACAAACCCUCUGUAACAGGUGAGGGGGAUUUAAGUAUUAUUUCAUUAUCUGUUUGUUAGGAGGAUAUAAGGAUUAUUAUUCCAUUAUUGUGUGUUAGGAGGAUGUGAGUAUUAUUUCAUUAUUUGUGUGUUAGGAGAACUGGGAUAACAUGACUUGGAAAGACAUUAGCUGAACAAUCGGGGUGAAGUGGGCUAGGACGACCUGCAACAGAAAAGCCCCCUCUGGAAACACACAGCAACUUAUAGGAAAAAACUAACAGAAAACUUUCGAUUUGCAGAAAAACUAUUGGUAAGAAACCUACUUCCAAGAGGGACUCCUAGGCAGAAGCCUUUAAUCAUAUUACUUGAGACUGACAACUGGCUUUUACAGGCCCUUCGAAGAGAAGCCUUCCCUAGAGCUGCAGGUCCAGUCAGUCUGCCACCUUUGUUUCCUGUGAGCCCUGAAGAGAUUCACAAUAGUGAAUAGGGCUUGGGCCACCCUCCCGUUCAGACUGAUCAGGGGGUGAUCCUUCAAGGUUUUAGCAGGGCUGUAUCUCCCAGGACUAACUAGUUAGAGAGCUAUGGCUCAGGAGCUGGUAAGAUGUCCAUAAACAAGAACAACUGUAAAGCAGCUCACAAGAACUAAAUUUUAAGGAAUUAGGAGCUCUUCAUACCCCAAGAAGGCAUGUGGGUAGCAGUUCUAGUCAGGACUGAGUUCUCUGAAAUAAAUGAACCAGGAUAUUUUUGUCUAUGAUUAACAUUUAAAAAAAUUUAUUUUUAUGUGCAUUGGUGUUUUGCCCGU
Molecule: long non-coding RNA, 1389 nt
Organism: Peromyscus eremicus (cactus mouse)
Lineage: Eukaryota; Metazoa; Chordata; Mammalia; Rodentia; Cricetidae
Exons: 3
Source: RefSeq, a predicted model, not a curated record